AACGAACGCUGGCGGCAGGCCUAACACAUGCAAGUCGAGCGCCCCGCAAGGGGAGCGGCGGACGGGUGAGUAACGCGUGGGAACGUGCCCUUUGCUACGGAAUAGCCCCGGGAAACUGGGAGUAAUACCGUAUAAGCCCUACGGGGGAAAGAUUUAUCGGCAAAGGAUCGGCCCGCGUUGGAUUAGGUAGUUGGUGGGGUAAUGGCCUACCAAGCCGACGAUCCAUAGCUGGUUUGAGAGGAUGAUCAGCCACACUGGGAAUGAGACACGGCCCAGACUCCUACUGGAGUCAGCAGUGGGGAUUCUUAGACAAUGGGCGCAAGCCUGAUCUAGCCAUGCCGCGUGAGCGAUGAAGGCCUUAGGGUUGUAAAGCUCUUUCGUGGGGGAAGAUAAUGACUGUACCCCAAGAAGAAGCCCCGGCUAACUCCGUGCCGGCCGCCGCUGUAA
Molecule: ribosomal RNA, 447 nt
Filed under: uncultured bacterium
Lineage: Bacteria
Description: partial 16S ribosomal RNA
Rfam family: Bacterial small subunit ribosomal RNA
Source: RNAcentral